AUAUGGUUCAUUGGUUAUUAACUCCUUCUUCUCAGACCGUAGGAAAAAAGGAAUGAAACGGUUGAAGAGAAGACACAAAAGAAGCCAGAGAGCUCCCCAUUUUCAGACCAGACCCUCACCUCAAAGCGAAGCAUGAGCUCUCCCCUCUGUCCCCAAAAGUUCAUGGGAUUGUUGCUCCAUUGCAAGAUAACACCAAGUUCUGCAACAACUCGAUUCACUGUGUUCACUCAAGGCAUGUCCCUUUCUGGGCAACAGGGAGGAUAUGUCAUGUGUGCACACAAGAUCAAGUGCAUGCAUGUGUACUUUCCAGUUAAUUCUUCAGCUUCUGUGGUGUACUCUUUUGUCUUUCUGAAAGGACAACCAGUAUAAGAAUGACAUUUUGCAAACAAAUGUUGAAUGCAUUUUUUAUUUCAACAUUAAGAUUUAAUUACAAAAGCUUCUGGAACAAUUAAAGGAUGCCAAGGAGGAAAGAGCUGAAAACUCAGACUGCAUUUUCUCAUUCAUUGUGAAAGCUAAACACAUUGUCAGCAGCAAGGCGUUUUAUAGAAAAGUUUCAGAUGGACAGUACAAAGACCUUUCUGUCAAUAUUGUCACUGAAACACCUUGCUGUCAUGAAGCACAUCUUUUUUUUUCUGAUCACGCUUUCUAGUGUUGGCUGAUUGAUUUUUGCAGUGGGAAACAAGUAAUAAUUAUUGCAGAUUUACCGUAAUUCUUUUCUGCUAAUCUCUGCUAAUAUAACACAGUCUUCUUCUUGGAAAAAUGUCCAAACAUAACUUUACCCUGAUAAAAAUGUCUAGUGCUGUUGUUAGAAGUUUUAUUUGCACAAAUAUGUUCCUAAUCUAUGUUAAUUUCAUGCAAUAUAAUUCUUAAUUUUUGGAAUAAAUACUGAGAAUCAUUAGA
Molecule: long non-coding RNA, 900 nt
Organism: Lonchura striata (white-rumped munia)
Lineage: Eukaryota; Metazoa; Chordata; Aves; Passeriformes; Estrildidae
Source: RefSeq, a predicted model, not a curated record